Long non-coding RNA from Ochotona curzoniae (black-lipped pika), 1291 nucleotides. RefSeq lists it as uncharacterized. The record is from RefSeq and is a predicted model, not a curated record. NCBI's taxonomy places the organism in Eukaryota, Metazoa, Chordata, Mammalia, Lagomorpha, Ochotonidae. The transcript has 2 exons.
CCAGCUCCCUGCCCCCUGGGCUUGCAAGGUGCCGCCGGUGGCUACAGAUCGCUGACGCGGAGGGUGAAUAGCUAGGCACCCCAGUGCUCGCGCUAGAGGACCUCGGAGUUGUCUAGGCGCGGCGGGGGUGCGCUGGGGUGCAGGGUGAACUUUGUUUUCCUUGCGGCUGAUGAGGUGCGCCCGUUGCUCUCGCUCCGUUUAAGCUGCUUGGCUGUCCAAGUUGUGUGGAUCUCUGUAAUUUGCCAACCUUAAUGGGCAUAUUAGGAAAGCCAUAAACUUUUUGGCAGUAUCUGUCAAAGACUGCUUCCAUCAGCCAAACCCGAGAAAUAAUAAAUUUGCUUUUAAUUGUGUGGGCUGAGAAGUCUGUUGAGUCCAAAAGCUCUUAGAAAAAAACCGGAGUAUGGAAAUUUACUACUGAAAAGCCCACUUAGAGGAAUAAAUCUUUUUUUUUUUAAUGAAAACAGGAAAUUAGCUCAGGCAUUGCCAGGCAUUCCUUCUUAGACCUGCAAAAAGCUUUCAUCUGCUUUUCUUUGAUCUUUGUUACUUUGAGGCUAUUUCCUUUACAUUGAUUGUUACAAAGUUUGACACACACAUAGGAUGAUAGCCAGCCAAAGGUACUGGAAAAACAUGAAGUACGAAAACUCAGGACUGUAGGCUAAGAACAGUAGUUAGUUUAAGCCCUUGACAGUUGCCAGAGCAGUCAGUUGCCUCCAAGAUUUUGUUGCCCUGUGCUUGGGUAAAUAAACCUGCUGACUGGUUUCCGUGCAUGGAGACUACCCGCUGCUAGCUAGCUAGAGUGGGGCAGGAUUUCCAGCUGGAGGAAGCUUGGGACUCCCUCUGGGUCUUCCUGGUGAGGCAGGGAUGCUGUCGCCUGCUGCCGGAGUGAGCACUAACAGGAGUUUGGGCACAGAGCAGCAGGAUUCCCACUAACCACCCUCCCUAGGGAAAUGAACAUCCCAGUGGGCAACUGCGACACAAUGCCUUGUCCUCUCGCUAUCUUUUAAUUCUAUUGUUCAUGAACAUUUUGAGGCCAAGGGAUUUAGUUUAUUUUAAUAGGCUCUCCCUACCCCCGAUGAAGACCGUUGGAAAAAAAUAGGAGAGAAUAGCUUUUCUGAGAUUUUGAGCAUAGUUCUGGACAAGCUUUGGGCGUAGGUAUUUGGGUCAGUGUUGGAUGUCUUUGAGAAAAGUUUAAACUUAAAGCAAACCUCCUGUCCAUGAAGUGAAGGGAGGUACACCCCGCUGCCUUCUGUAUCCUCAGCCUUGUCAGGGUCAGCUUAGCACUCCCAGAAAG